UAGCCGUAAACGAUACUCGCUAGGUGUCGGCCACGGUGCGACCGUUGUCGGUGCCGUAGGGAAGCCGUGAAGCGAGCCACCUGGGAAGUACGGCCGCAAGGCUGAAACUUAAGGAAUUGGCGGGGGAGCACCACAACGGGUGGAGCUUGCGGUUUAAUUGGAUUCAACGCCGGAAAUCUUACCGGGACCGACAGCAACAUGAAGGCCAGGCUGAAGACUUUGCCGGAUUAGCUGAGAGGAGGUGCAUGGCGUAGUCGUGU
Molecule: ribosomal RNA, 260 nt
Filed under: uncultured archaeon
Lineage: Archaea
Description: partial 16S ribosomal RNA
Rfam family: Archaeal small subunit ribosomal RNA
Source: RNAcentral